GUUUCACCAUGUUAGCCAGGAGGGUCUCAAUCUCCUGACCUCAUGAUCCACCCGCCUCGGCCUCCCAAAGUGCUGGGAUUACGGGCAUGAGCCGCUGCGCCCAGCCCCACCAAGCCCUCAUUUUUGAAGUGAAAUAAAGGAAAAGGCUUAAAUAGCGUGAAAGCGAAUGAAGUCAUAAUAAAACAGCUAAUCUCUAUUGAGAGCUUUCUCAUAACCAAGGCUUUCCUAAGAGCUUUCCAUGAAUUAACUCAUUUACUGUGUAUAACAACCUUACUAUUGACAGUCUGCCUUCAGAUCCCAGCUUUGUGACCCAAGGCUUUGUGACUUGGAGCCACUUCACUUCUCUUGGCCUCAGUGCCUUCAAUUAUAAAAUAGGAAAAAUAAUCAUACCCGUUUCUUACCAUAUUUUAUGUGUGCUCUCAUUUAAGCUCAUGGUAGUCCUGUGAGGUGCAGAGAUGGAAGAGAUGAAAGCUUGAAGGCUUGAGUUUCUGAUAAAAGUUUAAAGGCCUGGAGUAACACCCCACAGCUAGGAAGUGGGUAAUGUCUUUAAAAUCUCACUACACAAAGUACUGGCUUUGUGAAAAGGCUCUGACCUAUUUUGCCCUGCCUGGAUUGGUUUUAACAUCAUGUAGAUACUUCACUGGCUUUGUCUACUAACCCCAUGCCUGGGGAAUUAUAAGGAAGGGAUUCGGGCACCGUGUUGUCUGCGGCAUGAAUCUUGCCAGGCUGUGGCUGUCACCAAGGUUAUUGGACACUCCUCCCUGAGCAGGACCCACCUGGGAGGCAUGCAGAUGACAAGUGCCACUCAACCUUUUCCUCAGUGCCUGCUGGGCCCCGUGUGCAUGUUCAGGUAAUGAGAGGAACCUCGGAGCAAGUGGAGUAAGUGAGUGUGGUCACUCCAACAACAGACCAACCCAUGAGAGGUCUGAUUUCACGUUAAAAUGGGAAAUAUUUGGUUGAAUGGAAUUGACGGAAAGGCAGGAAUAGCCUUUCUCAUUCCCUCAUGGAUAGAAAAAAUGCACAAACCACGUUAUCUGUUGGGUUGCAUGGAAUCGCUCUGACUGUUUUAUUACCACCAUUCACGUAGCAUUUUAUGUGAAAGGGAAUGCUGGGCG
This 1115-nucleotide long non-coding RNA is filed under the name Homo sapiens (human). Its description in RNAcentral is "HSALNT0198549". Lineage: Eukaryota; Metazoa; Chordata; Mammalia; Primates; Hominidae. The record is from RNAcentral.